CCUACGGGAGGCAGCAGUGGGGGAUAUUGCACAAUGGGGGGAACCCUGAUGCAGCGACGCCGCGUGGGUGAAGAAGCGCCUCGGCGUGUAAAGCCCUGUCAGCAGGGAAGAAAAUGACGGUACCUGAAGAAGAAGCCCAGGCCAAAGACGUGCCAGCAGCCGCGGUAAUACGUAGGGGGCAAGCGUUAUCCGGAUUUACGGGGGGUAAAGGGGGCGCAGACGGCGAUGCAAGCCAGGAGUGAAAGCCCGGGGCCCAACCCCGGGAGUGCGCUUGGAACUGCGUGGCUGGAGUGGAGGAGGGGCAGGCGGAAUUCCUGGUGUAGCGGGGAAAUGCGUAGAUAUCAGGAGGAACACCGGUGGCGAAGGCGGCCUGCUGGACUGCAACUGACGUUGAGGCCCGAAAGCGUGGGGAGCAAACAGGAUUAUAUACCCGGGUAGUC
RNAcentral lists this ribosomal RNA (440 nucleotides) under uncultured bacterium. Its description in RNAcentral is "partial 16S ribosomal RNA". It matches the Rfam family "Bacterial small subunit ribosomal RNA", at positions 338 to 795 of the family's 1533-position model. The record is from RNAcentral.